CUUACGGGGGGCUGCAGUGGGGAAUAUUGGACAAUGGGGGCAACCCUGAUCCAGCCAUGCCGCGUGUGUGAAGAAGGCCCUCGGGUUGUAAAGCACUUUCAGUGAGGAAGAACGCCUGGUGGUUAAUACCCAUCAGGAAAGACAUCACUCACAGAAGAAGCACCGGCUAACUCCGUGCCAGCAGCCGCGGUAAUACGGAGGGUGCGAGCGUUAAUCGGAAUUACUGGGCGUAAAGCGCGCGUAGGUGGCUUGAUAAGCCGGUUGUGAAAGCCCCGGGCUCAACCUGGGAACGGCAUCCGGAACUGUCAAGCUAGAGUGCAGGAGAGGAAGGUAGAAUUCCCGGUGUAGCGGUGAAAUGCGUAGAGAUCGGGAGGAAUACCAGUGGCGAAGGCGGCCUUCUGGACUGACACUGACACUGAGGUGCGAAAGCGUGGGUAGCAAACAGGAUUAGAUACCCUAGUAGUC
This 465-nucleotide ribosomal RNA is filed under the name Vreelandella stevensii. Its description in RNAcentral is "partial 16S ribosomal RNA". It matches the Rfam family "Bacterial small subunit ribosomal RNA", at positions 338 to 795 of the family's 1533-position model. The record is from RNAcentral. Lineage: Bacteria; Pseudomonadati; Pseudomonadota; Gammaproteobacteria; Oceanospirillales; Halomonadaceae.